Molecule: long non-coding RNA, 277 nt
Organism: Saccostrea echinata
Lineage: Eukaryota; Metazoa; Mollusca; Bivalvia; Ostreida; Ostreidae
Exons: 3
Source: RefSeq, a predicted model, not a curated record
UACGGGUGACGUCACUGGUAAGAAGUCUGACGUCUGCAAGACAGUGUCUGGAGUUAGGCUAGGAAUAACGUGUAUAACAUAAUGUAAACUUAGUUUACCAAAUAAGUAAGAAAAUAUUGACGCAGUCAACUGUCUUGGUCAGCACCCCAGCCCAGGUGUGAAUCAACACUGGCACAUUAUAUCAAAAUUCAGGAUGGUGGCUGAAGCUCAUCUCCUAUGUAAACACCUAAAUGCCAAGUCUGGACUUCAAAAACAGAUUCUGAAAGUUUAACCAGCA